Molecule: ribosomal RNA, 433 nt
Filed under: uncultured bacterium
Lineage: Bacteria
Description: partial 16S ribosomal RNA
Rfam family: Bacterial small subunit ribosomal RNA
Source: RNAcentral
AACGAACGCUGGCGGCAUGCCUAACACGUGCAAGUCGAACGAGACCUUCGGGUCUAGUGGCGCACGGGUGCGUAACGCGUGGGAACCUGCCCUUAGGUUCGGAAUAACUCCCCGAAAGGGGUGCUAAUACCGGAUAAUGUCUUCGGACCAAAGAUUUAUCGCCUUUGGAUGGGCCCGCGUUGGAUUAGCUAGUUGGUAGGGUAAAAGCCUACCAAGGCGACGAUCCAUAGCUGGUCUGAGAGGAUGAUCAGCCACACUGGGACUGAGGCACGGCCCAGACUCCUACGGGAAGCAGCAGUGGGGAAUAUUGGACAAUGGGCGAAAGCCUGAUCCAGCAAUGCCGCGUGAGUGAUGAAGGCCUUAGGGUUGUAAAGCUCUUUUACCCGGGGUGAUAAUGACAGUACCGGGAGAAUAAGCUCCGGCUAACUCCGUG